AACGAACGCUGGCGGCGCGCCUAAUACAUGCAAGUCGAGCGAGAAGACGUAGCAAUACGUUUGUAAAGCGGCGAACGGGUGAGGAAUACAUGGGUAACCUACCCUCGAGUGGGGAAUAACUAGCCGAAAGGUUAGCUAAUACCGCGUACGCUCCUUGGACUUCGGUUCAGGGAGGAAAGCGAUACCGUGGGUAUCGCGCUCUUGGAUGGGCUCAUGUCCUAUCAGCUUGUUGGUGGGGUAACGGCUCACCAAGGCUUCGACGGGUAGCUGGUCUGAGAGGACGAUCAGCCACACUGGCACUGCGACACGGGCCAGACUCCUACGGGAGGCAGCAGUAAGGAAUAUUGCGCAAUGGGCGAAAGCCUGACGCAGCGACGCCGCGUGGGGGAGUGAAGGUCUUCGGAUUGUAAACCCCUUUCCGGGAGGGAAGGAUGGAACGAGCAAUCGUUCGGACGGUACCUCCAGAAGCAGCCACGGCUAACUUCGUGCCAGCAGCCGCGGU
RNAcentral lists this ribosomal RNA (502 nucleotides) under uncultured bacterium. Its description in RNAcentral is "bacterial SSU rRNA". It matches the Rfam family "Bacterial small subunit ribosomal RNA", at positions 29 to 521 of the family's 1533-position model. The record is from RNAcentral.